RNAcentral lists this transfer RNA (88 nucleotides) under Candidatus Methanofastidiosum methylothiophilum. Its description in RNAcentral is "Arc I group archaeon U1lsi0528_Bin089 tRNA-Leu". It matches the Rfam family "tRNA". Rfam says of the family: Transfer RNA (tRNA) molecules are approximately 80 nucleotides in length. Their secondary structure includes four short double-helical elements and three loops (D, anti-codon, and T loops). Further hydrogen bonds mediate the characteristic L-shaped molecular structure. tRNAs have two regions of fundamental functional importance: the anti-codon, which is responsible for specific mRNA codon recognition, and the 3' end, to which the tRNAs corresponding amino acid is attached (by aminoacyl-tRNA synthetases). tRNAs cope with the degeneracy of the genetic code in two manners: having more than one tRNA (with a specific anti-codon) for a particular amino acid; and 'wobble' base-pairing, i.e. permitting non-standard base-pairing at the 3rd anti-codon position. Lineage: Archaea; Methanobacteriati; Methanobacteriota; Candidatus Methanofastidiosia; Candidatus Methanofastidiosales; Candidatus Methanofastidiosaceae. The record is from RNAcentral.
UGCGGGGGUUGCCGAGCAUGGUCUAAGGCGCCGGACUUAAGAUCCGGUGACGCAGGUCUUCGAGGGUUCGAAUCCCUUCCCCCGCAUC